Molecule: ribosomal RNA, 637 nt
Filed under: uncultured bacterium
Lineage: Bacteria
Description: bacterial SSU rRNA
Rfam family: Bacterial small subunit ribosomal RNA
Source: RNAcentral
CGCCGCGUGAGGGAUGAAGGCCUCUGGGCUGUAAACCUCUUUUCUCAAGGAAGAAGAACUGACGGUACUUGAGGAAUAAGCCACGGCUAAUUCCGUGCCAGCAGCCGCGGUAAUACGGGAGUGGCAAGCGUUAUCCGGAAUUAUUGGGCGUAAAGCGUCCGCAGGCGGCCUCGUAAGUCUGUCGUUAAAGCGUGGAGCUUAACUCCAUUUGAGCGAUGGAAACUGUGAGGCUUGAGUGUGGUAGGGGCAGAGGGAAUUCCCGGUGUAGCGGUGAAAUGCGUAGAUAUCGGGAAGAACACCAGUGGCGAAGGCGCUCUGCUGGGCCAUAACUGACGCUCAUGGACGAAAGCCAGGGGAGCGAAAGGGAUUAGAUACCCCUGUAGUCCUGGCCGUAAACGAUGAACACUAGGUGUCGGGGGAAUCGACCCCCUCGGUGUCGUAGCCAACGCGUUAAGUGUUCCGCCUGGGGAGUACGCACGCAAGUGUGAAACUCAAAGGAAUUGACGGGGACCCGCACAAGCGGUGGAGUAUGUGGUUUAAUUCGAUGCAACGCGAAGAACUUACCAGNGUUUGACAUCCUGCGAAUCCCUGAGAAAUCGGGGAGUGCCUUCGGGAGCGCAGUGACAGGUGGUGCAUG